RNAcentral lists this ribosomal RNA (422 nucleotides) under uncultured bacterium. RNAcentral describes it as "bacterial SSU rRNA". It matches the Rfam family "Bacterial small subunit ribosomal RNA", at positions 355 to 775 of the family's 1533-position model. The record is from RNAcentral.
UAGGGAAUAUUGGGCAAUGGGCGAGAGCCUGACCCAGCCAUGCCGCGUGCCGGAUGAAGGCCUUCUGGGUUGUAAACGGCUUUUCUCAGGGAAGAAAAAGCCCAUGCGUGGGACACUGACGGUACCUGAGGAAUAAGCACCGGCUAACUCCGUGCCAGCAGCCGCGGUAAUACGGAGGGUGCAAGCGUUGUCCGGAUUUAUUGGGUUUAAAGGGUGCGUAGGUGGCUUGUUAAGUCCGGGGUGAAAGCCCACAGCUCAACUGUGGAACUGCCCUGGAUACUGGCGAGCUUGAGUCCAGACGAGGUUGGCGGAAUGGAUGCUGUAGCGGUGAAAUGCAUAGAUAGCAUCCAGAACCCCGAUUGCGUAGGCAGCUGACUAGGCUGGUACUGACACUGAGGCACGAAAGCGUGGGGAGCGAACAG